CGUGCGCACGCGCCGAAUCCCGCGAGGGAACCGGGGAACCACCACCUUGGGGUGAAUCGCGCGAAUGCCGCAGUUGGUAUACGCGCGUAGGAGACCUUCCUGCUCCGAACCCGUCAGCUAACCCGGUAGGCGGAGGAAGGAAAGGAGUA
RNAcentral lists this small RNA (149 nucleotides) under Streptomyces incarnatus. RNAcentral describes it as "c-di-AMP sequence". It matches the Rfam family "c-di-AMP riboswitch aptamer (ydaO/yuaA leader)". Rfam says of the family: This family represents a conserved RNA structure found upstream of the ydaO and yuaA genes in Bacillus subtilis and related genes in other bacteria. The ydaO/yuaA element is thought to act as a genetic "off" switch for the ydaO and yuaA genes in its native state. It is believed that the element may be triggered during osmotic shock leading to activation of ydaO, a predicted amino acid transporter gene, and members of the yuaA-yubG operon which code for KtrA and KtrB K+ transporters. Lineage: Bacteria; Bacillati; Actinomycetota; Actinomycetes; Kitasatosporales; Streptomycetaceae. The record is from RNAcentral.